AACGAACGCUGGCGGCAUGCCUAACACAUGCAAGUCGAACGAGACCUUCGGGUCUAGUGGCGCACGGGUGCGUAACGCGUGGGAACCUGCCCUUAGGUUCGGAAUAACUCUCCGAAAGGGGUGCUAAUACCGGAUAAUGUCUUCGGACCAAAGAUUUAUCGCCUUUGGAUGGGCCCGCGUUGGAUUAGCUAGUUGGUAGGGUAAAAGCCUACCAAGGCGACGAUCCAUAGCUGGUCUGAGAGGAUGAUCAGCCACACUGGGACUGAGACACGGCCCAGACUCCUACGGGAGGCAGGAAAGGGGAAUAUUGGACAAUGGGCGAAAGCCUGAACCAGCAAUGCCGCGUGAGUGAUGAAGGCCUUAGGGUUGUAAAGCUCUUUUACCCGGGAUGAUAAUGACAGUACCGAGAGAAUAAGCUCCGGCUAACUCCGUG
RNAcentral lists this ribosomal RNA (433 nucleotides) under uncultured bacterium. Its description in RNAcentral is "partial 16S ribosomal RNA". It matches the Rfam family "Bacterial small subunit ribosomal RNA", at positions 29 to 507 of the family's 1533-position model. The record is from RNAcentral.